AGUUACACUCCCAAACCCCUGUGAACAUACCACUUGUUGCCUCGGCGGAUCAGCCCGCUCCCGGUAAAACGGGACGGCCCGCCAGAGGACCCCUAAACUCUGUUUCUAUAUGUAACUUCUGAGUAAAACCAUAAAUAAAUCAAAACUUUCAACAACGGAUCUCUUGGUUCUGGCAUCGAUGAAGAACGCAGCAAAAUGCGAUAAGUAAUGUGAAUUGCAGAAUUCAGUGAAUCAUCGAAUCUUUGAACGCACAUUGCGCCCGCCAGUAUUCUGGCGGGCAUGCCUGUUCGAGCGUCAUUUCAACCCUCAAGCACAGCUUGGUGUUGGGACUCGCGUUAAUUCGCGUUCCUCAAAUUGAUUGGCGGUCACGUCGAGCUUCCAUAGCGUAGUAGUAAAACCCUCGUUACUGGUAAUCGUCGCGGCCACGCCGUUAAACCCCAACUUCUGAAUGUUGACCUCGGAUCAGGUAGGAAUACCCGCUGAACUUAAGCAUAUCAAUAAGCGGAGGAA
RNAcentral lists this ribosomal RNA (510 nucleotides) under Fusarium sp. T XZ-2010. Its description in RNAcentral is "eukaryotic LSU rRNA". The stretch from base 144 to 297 matches the Rfam family "5.8S ribosomal RNA". The record is from RNAcentral. Lineage: Eukaryota; Fungi; Ascomycota; Sordariomycetes; Hypocreales; Nectriaceae.